GAGGGUAUAGCUCAGUGGUAGAGUGUGUGCUUAGCAUGCACAAGGUCCUGGGUUCAAUCCCCAGUAUCUCCG
Molecule: transfer RNA, 72 nt
Filed under: Camelus bactrianus (Bactrian camel)
Lineage: Eukaryota; Metazoa; Chordata; Mammalia; Artiodactyla; Camelidae
Also listed under: 1 other name
Rfam family: tRNA
About the family: Transfer RNA (tRNA) molecules are approximately 80 nucleotides in length. Their secondary structure includes four short double-helical elements and three loops (D, anti-codon, and T loops).
Source: Rfam by way of RNAcentral